AGGAUCAUUACAGCGAAGCGGCGCGAGCCGCCUUUCGAACCACCGCGUACCGAACCCCCCACGUUGCCUCGGCGGGCGCCGGGCGCCCCGCGCCCGCCCCGCCGAACGGCCCCCCAGCAAGACCCCUUCCGUCGAGAUGGCGUCGUCUGAACCCUCCGGGGAAAACGUUUCUGAAACGAAAAACACAACUUUCAACAAUGGAUCUCUUGGCUCCGGCAUCGAUGAAGAACGCAGCGAAACGCGAUAGCUAGUGUGAAUUGCAGAUUUCAGUGAAUCAUCGAGUCUUUGAACGCACAUUGCGCCUCUUGGUAUUCCUCGAGGCAUGCCUGUUCGAGCGUCGUUACGCCCCUCAAGCGCGAGCUUGGUGUUGGGGACCGCCCCUGAGACACGGCGGCGGCCCCGGAAUGCAUCGGCGGUGCUGGUCCCAGCCCGGAGCGCAGCAGACAUGCGGCUCCGCGGGCGGGGCCGGCGCCCGCCGGACAAACGACGAGACCCCUCCACAAGUCGACCUCGAAUCA
Molecule: unclassified non-coding RNA, 518 nt
Filed under: leaf metagenome
Description: partial contains internal transcribed spacer 1, 5.8S ribosomal RNA, and internal transcribed spacer 2
Rfam family: 5.8S ribosomal RNA (bases 187-340)
Source: RNAcentral